RNAcentral lists this ribosomal RNA (608 nucleotides) under uncultured bacterium. RNAcentral's name for it is "bacterial SSU rRNA". It matches the Rfam family "Bacterial small subunit ribosomal RNA", at positions 338 to 944 of the family's 1533-position model. The record is from RNAcentral.
CCUACGGGAGGCAGCAGUAGGGAAUAUUGGACAAUGGACGCAAGUCUGAUCCAGCCAUCCCGCGUGAAGGAUUAAGGCCCUAUGGGUUGUAAACUUCUUUUCUUUGGGAAUAAAAAGCGGUAUUCAUAUCGCCUUGAAGGUACCAGAGGAAUAAGCACCGGCUAACUCCGUGCCAGCAGCCGCGGUAAUACGGAGGGUGCAAGCGUUAUCCGGAUUCACUGGGUUUAAAGGGUGCGUAGGUGGCUUUGUAAGUCAGCGGUGAAAGCCUGGAGCUCAACUCCAGAAUUGCCAUUGAUACUGCAGAGCUUGAAUCAAGUUGAGGUGGAUGGAAUAUUACAUGUAGCGGUGAAAUGCUUAGAUAUGUAAUAGAACACCGAUUGCGAAGGCAGUUCACUAAGCUUGUAUUGACACUGAGGCACGAAAGCGUGGGGAUCAAACAGGAUUAGAUACCCUGGUAGUCCACGCCCUAAACGAUGCAAACUCGACAUUAGCGAUAUACAGUUAGUGUCCAAGCGAAAGCGUUAAGUUUGCCACCUGGGAAGUACGACCGCAAGGUUGAAACUCAAAUGAUAGAGNGNGAGAGNGCGAGGACGACACGAGGGAGGAGG